Non-coding RNA from Zootermopsis nevadensis, 3471 nucleotides. Lineage: Eukaryota; Metazoa; Arthropoda; Insecta; Blattodea; Termopsidae. The record is from RefSeq and is a predicted model, not a curated record.
UGGUUUUACCUACUGAAUGUAAAUAUUUUUAUAUAUCGCAGAGAGCUAAUUUUUUCCCUAUUUUACAAUUUAAUACAGUGCCAGGAACCAUUCUAAACCCAGCUGCUGAGAAAUUGGAUGUGAUUAGCACGAGGCUGGAGGCCCGCCAGCCUCGUGUUAAAGGGUAAGGUAAUAAAACAUCGAGUAAUAGUCAGGACAUUACAAAGAAGUCAUCAGAUGUGUCAAGCAGAGUCCAUGAUUGUAAAGAAGAAACCAGUUCAUUUGUUAGUGCAGAGGAAGGAAGACAGAAAUCCAAAUUACAAAAUGAGAAAUGGACAGUAAACUGAAUUGUAUGUUCCUCUAAAACUUUGGUAAACUACAAUCCUGUUUCUACUGUACCGUCAAUAAACUCCAGCAUUAAAGUAAAUGCUUCAUAGAUUCCCUUGUUCACUAAUCGAGCUACAAGUACGAAAAUAAUAUUGCAGCUAUUUGAUCCUUAACUUCGUUCCUGGUACUAAUACAAACACUGCAAAAGGGAAUGAAUUUUCUUUUCUGUAUUUCAUCCAUUCCUUACGUUUAUGAAAUUACAAAUUUUAAGAGCAUAAAGUCCAUUGUGUAUGAAGGACGGAGUGUGAAGCAUUGAAGUUACGAGAAAUACAUACAUCUAGAAAGUUCUAAUUGUGUAAUCUUGAAGGUAAGAUACCACUUGUGUAACAUAGGCGUAAAAGGAAGGAUAAUAUUAAAAUGUCUUUGAGUAAUUACAGUAUGUGGGAAGGGUUCAACUACCGACUUUUGUGAAUAAGGUAAUGAAUCUUAAGGCUCCAUAAAAGCCAAACAUUUCAUGGCCUGGUGACAGAGUAAUAAAUAUCAAGAAGGGCCCGCUGAAUGGGGUUAGAGUAAGUUUCGUUUGGCAGAUUUUUUUGUAUAUAAUGUGACAUAUUACGGAAUAUGUGUGCAGGAGGAGACAACAGUACAUUAUACAAGCUCAUAACCGAAAAGUAUGACCCUGCAGAAGACACGUGGACCGUGAUCCCUUACCGGAUCAUCCCAGACAGAUACUUCAACGUAGAAAUGAUCGACACGCACAUUGUCAUUUGUGAUUGUUAUGACGUUAGCGAAAUUUACAAUGAAGAGGAAAGAAAAUGGUACCAGGCGUCAAAAUGUAAUUUUUGUAGAUAUGGGAUGUCGAUUUGUGUCGUCAAGGACCUACCGAAUGCAAAAGAUUACGCCUACAAACACACAUCCAAAUUAAUUUAGUAGACACGUAAAAAACUGUUCGCGUAGGAAACCCUGCGGAGUAAGCCUUUGAUUACAACCUCGACAAACACGUCAAUUUUAAUUACGUUCCUCUAGAAAAUAAUGAAGAAAAGUGGGAUGUGAUGUAGUAGCCAAGAUGAGUAAUAAGUCAUAGUUGGAAUUAUUAUUUCUCUUCGUUAUUUUCUGCUCAAGAAGUUUUAUUAACACUAAAUUAUUAUAAAGACGUUUCAUUGUAUCCAAAAUAUUAUUAUCCAUGAACACAUACUAGUUUCACUUAGCGACUUGUAUGAAAUUCAUUUCAGGCGACAUGUUUCGAGUUACGAAAGCGUCUUCAUGGUUUUAGGGGAAGUGGGGGAAAUCACGCCAUCUUAAAGGAAAAUAAAAAGUUGUUGCUUCAUGAACAUCGUUUACAAAAACUUCAUUACGAAGGCAACACACGUGAAAUUUUUAUUUAUUUAUAAUGUAUUACAUGUAUUUAAAAAAUGUUGGUUGAGUUGCGCCAAUAUACCGUGUAAUUCUGCCAUGUUUCUGGCGAAGUACCACCAUUUCCAAAUGCCAUAAAGAUAAAGACGAUGCUUUCCGAUAACGGUUAUAUUUAUUUAUUCAUGUAAUUUUGUACGGUAUUUUUAAGGGCUUGAUGUAUAAGUACAGAUUAUUACCAAAAAAAUACACAAAACUAAUUAACUUCAAUUUAGUUAAGACACAUACAGAGUAAAAGAUGUUAUAAAAUGGGGAUCACAUAGCGUGUUUCCGAGAUAAAGUCAAAUUCUGUAUCAGCUUAACAGAUCAUAAACCAGGGCUCAAAAACACAAUAUGCCGACAAACUGCCUGGCACUCGGGCAAUACCGCACAAUAAAGUACCAUUACUUCAGACGUGGUUAACGUAACACAUUAUUUAUUCCCGCAAGAGCCCAGAAUGUUACAAGUCUGCAUAUUCAGAAGAAUAGACAUGCACAUUUGUACUUUCAAAUAUUUAACGUCCAAAGCAUGUCCAUAACAAGGAUCGGCUGGUUAAUCCCAUGUAGGGAAGUUAUGUCUUUUUGUUCUGAGAAUCUACAAAACCCAUAAUUACAUAUUGUGAUUGUUAAUUCAGGCUUUCCUUUCCGUUAACACUGGGUUUUAAAAAUGUGAACUCUUUAAGGCAAUCAAUGUCAUUAUGGAGGCGAGCGAUCUUCAUCUGCAGAAAGUUAUUACUACGUAACUAAACAUUAGUUAAGUUCUGUUCUCAUUUUCCAAAACCGUGUUGAGUGAGCCCUUUGGCACCAUGGUGUUUCACAUCAGGAGAAUACGGACAACAGCCGAUAAGGGGUAGUCUUCUAACGAAGGGAUUAAGAAGGGGGUAACAACUUACUAACUUAUUAUAUUACAGAGCUGUGUAUUUCUCUGACCGGAGUACAAGUUUCUCAAGAAUACGUUUGCUCCAUGAAUUUCGUUACAUUUUCCAAAGGAAUUUCGAAACUUAUAAUAAAAUACAAAAUGACAUGUAUUUAUAAAAAUACUAACUUUUGUUUUCUAACAAAGUCACAUUUUUGCGACAUCACAUCAAUUCUCAUUACAAGUUCAAUUUAAGAUUAAAUAUUCUCAGUGGAUGUAAUUAUGUUAUGUUUUACAACUAUCAACAUGCGAGUAUCAGUUUUAAUAACACGUUUAUUCUGGAAAUGUCUUUGCUUGCAUAAAAUGCUCUCUAAGUACUUUAGAUGUUACUUGCGUAAGGUGGAGGGACAAGAUUUGUGGUUUGAUUUUUGUGGAAGGCUGAGGUACAAGUCUAAAUUCAAUGACAUUCCCACCCUCGACGUCAUGCAUUUCGCAUAUACUCCGUGCACUUUACAUACCCCAGCCAUCGUAUUCUCAUUGAUUUGAUCAUCCAAAUAACAAUUGAUGGAGAUUAGAAAUUAUGAAGAUUUUCACAAUUCAGUUUUCUCCAGAAUCCUGUUGCUGCCCCUCUCUUAGAUCCAAUGAUUUUCUACAGAACCUUGUUCUCAAAUAUCAGAUUUCACACCCAUGGAAGUAAAUGGGUAAAACUGUGAUCUUAAGUUGUGAUGGCAGUCAAGAUGUCAAAAAUGAUCUUCCACAUAUUUUUAACUUGUGGUCUUGUAGAUGGUUACCAAUGUUUCAGAGGAACACGUGUGGCAUUGCAGCCUUUGAGACUGACAUUGACAAAUGAAAUUAUAGAUACUUGUAUUUUAAUCUUUAUGUCUCUAGACAGGAGAAAAUAAAAGAAAAUUAUUCUGAACA